AUGAUAUAUCAGUUCAGGGGUGGUCUCCGUGAAGAAAUUCAACUCGCUCUUGUCCUCUUCGAGCCGUUGAGAUACGAUGAGUUCUACAACAUGGCACUGAAGCAAGAGGCUGCUCAGUUGAGGUGUGAUGCUUCCAGGAAGCGAGUCAGAGAUGCUACUCCUUCUUCCUCUACUCAAGUGGCUAAGCAGCAGAAGUAUUGGCUUCCUCCUCCUCCGUUCCGUCAGCCGUAUCAGCAGAAGAGCAAAGGUGGCAGUGGUUCUUCCCACCCACCCAACCCUGGCUUUCAGAACAAGUCUUCAUCUCAACCUCCAAGAUCGAGUGCUCCGUACCACUGUCCGCUUUCAGAGGUCACGUGCAACAAGUGCCAAGAAAAGGGUCACUAUGCCAACAAGUGUUUCAACCAGAGGCGUCUUCCUCCUCCUCCUCCUGUGAGAUCGGCAAGUAUAGCUGUGGUCAAGCAUAAUCCCAAGUACGCCAAGGUCAAUAUGGUGAAUGCAGCUCAGGCAGAGGAUUCUUCAGAUGUCAUCAUGGGUAACCUUCCUAUUAACGAUAUUCCUGCAAGAGUUCUUUUUGAUACUGGUGCAUCGCAUUGUUUCAUCUCGAGACCUUUUGCUUCCAAGCAUGAUUUUGUUACUCAAGUGCUGUCGAAACCGUUGGCUAUUGUUUCUCCGGCCCGUCAAAUGACA
RNAcentral lists this ribosomal RNA (687 nucleotides) under Triticum aestivum (bread wheat). Its description in RNAcentral is "partial small subunit ribosomal RNA". Lineage: Eukaryota; Viridiplantae; Streptophyta; Magnoliopsida; Poales; Poaceae. The record is from RNAcentral.